CAAAUUAAAAGAUAACCUUUCGAUUGUAUAGUUAAAAUAGAAACUAUGGACAAGAAAAGAGGUAAAUAUGAUCAGUAAAUACACAAAGACAAGUCUGGGGGCCCACUGUACAAUCAAAAUAAAGAAGACAAAAUUGAAAAUGAAGACAAAAUGAAGAAGACAAAAUUGCCAUAACCCUGCUGAAACUGUAUGUGUAUGGGGAGUAAUUUCAAUGCCAAUGCAAGCAGAGAACAAGUCUUUCAGCAAUGAGAAAAGCGAUCCAAUCGGUGUUUUUCUGUUGUCUCUGUAGAUUUUUUUUUUAAAUGUAUGGCUUGUUAAUGACUAGUAAGGGUUAAACCUUAUUUUGAUUUUGUUCUUAACUUUUAAAUUGACUUUUUAUUCAUUUUUCCCGUUUUUAAAAUGUGAUGUUUAAUUAUUUCUUAUUAAUAGAAAAAGCUCUUAGUAAAGGUAACAAAAGGAAUGGCAGAAGCCGCAAUUACUUUUGUGCCAACCUAGUAAGAAUAUUGAACAUCUUCCUGUUGUAUUUACCAUAAGCCAUUUCCCAAAUGGUUGUUAUAUAUUUGUAUAUUUUUACAGACUGUAUAUUGGGUAUGUUUAUGCCAUAAAAUCUUCAGUCUUUGUAUUUUCUUUAGUUAUCAUCAUGUUUAGAAGUCCUUCAAUUGGGAAAGGUGAGCUCAGGGGACUUUAUUGAUGGUAACCGACAAGGUGAGCCCGAGCCUUCUCCAUGGUGGUGAAGAAACUGGUGGCGUCCACUAUGUACUCAGUACCAGCAUCACCUCAUUUGACUUUGGUGGGAUCUCUAUCCUGGAAGAUGAUGAUGGCAAUUCCAUUGAUGACAAGCUUCCCGUUCUCAGCCUUGAUGCUGCCAUGGCAUUUGCCACGGGUAGAAUCAUACUGGAAUAUGUAGACCAUGUAGUAGAGGUCAAUGAGGGAGUCAUUGAUGGCGACAGUAUUCACUUUACCAGAGUUAAAAGCAGUGCUGAUGACCAGGUGCCCAAUAUGGCCAAAUCCAUUGACUUGGGCCUUUCCUUCCACCAUAGCGUGUCAGGGAUGCCAAUGGCGCUGCACGAGAAGAUGCAGCUGUCUGUCGAACUGGAGGAGCAGAGAGCCUAUAAUUUUCAUGUUGAACUAUUUUAUGUUAAUUUUAUUAAGUUAUGCUAG
Molecule: long non-coding RNA, 1161 nt
Filed under: Pan troglodytes (chimpanzee)
Lineage: Eukaryota; Metazoa; Chordata; Mammalia; Primates; Hominidae
Description: lncRNA (ENSPTRG00000053649.1)
Source: RNAcentral